ACUUCAAAAAUCAAACCCAGCUCUUCCUCCUCCCCCUCCUCAUCUCUCUCUCUCUGUCAAAUUCGUUAUGCAGAUGAUUUUGGCUGGAUCAAGAGUUUCAGAAGAUAAUAGCAGCUGAAAGUUAGAUUUUACAUGUUCAAAAUUGAAGCCUCCUUUAGAUCCUGGAUUAGGGUGGUAAAGUAAGGAGCUAGGGUUCGAUGAUUUGGUUGCUUGGGGAAGCUAGGGUUCCAUUUGGGCUUCGUAUCUUUUAAGGGUCUAUGUCAUUCGAGCUUUACGGGUUCGUCUUAGGCGUAGUGAGUAAUCGAUGUACAGAAGAAGUGAGUACGGGUAGCGACAGGGGAACUAGGGUUCCGAUGACAACAAGAUGCAACGAUGGUUGAACGGUAGCGGUGACAACUCAGGGUGUUUAAACUUAGGGUUCCAGCAAAAAAUGGAGAUGGUUACAAGUUCCGUUGGUGAUUGUGUUAAGAUUCUACAGCUAUUAGAGGAGAUGAGGACGGACCUUCCAACCAAGCUCCGGCGAAGAUUUUGGCAACUCUGGUAAGGAAGUUCUAUCGUGCUUUCCUUCUA
Long non-coding RNA from Helianthus annuus (common sunflower), 570 nucleotides. RefSeq lists it as uncharacterized. The transcript is spliced from 3 exons. Lineage: Eukaryota; Viridiplantae; Streptophyta; Magnoliopsida; Asterales; Asteraceae. The record is from RefSeq and is a predicted model, not a curated record.